Molecule: ribosomal RNA, 432 nt
Filed under: uncultured bacterium
Lineage: Bacteria
Description: partial 16S ribosomal RNA
Rfam family: Bacterial small subunit ribosomal RNA
Source: RNAcentral
AGCGAACGCUGGCGGCAGGCCUAACACAUGCAAGUCGAACGGAUCCUUCGGGAUUAGUGGCGGACGGGUGAGUAACACGUGGGAACGUGCCCUUUGGUUCGGAACAACUCAGGGAAACUUGAGCUAAUACCGGAUGUGCCCUUCGGGGGAAAGAUUUAUCGCCAUUGGAGCGGCCCGCGUCUGAUUAGCUAGUUGGUGAGGUAACGGCCCACCAAGGCGACGAUCAGUAGCUGGUCUGAGAGGAUGAUCAGCCACACUGGGACUGAGACACGGCCCAGACUCCUACGGGAGGCAGCAGUGGGGAAUCUUGCGCAAUGGGCGAAAGCCUGACGCAGCCAUGCCGCGUGAAUGAUGAAGGUCUUAGGAUUGUAAAAUUCUUUCAGCGGGGACGAUAAUGACGGUACCCGCAGAAGAAGCGCCGGCUAACUUCGU